This is a non-coding RNA of Musca domestica (house fly), 45 nucleotides long. The record is from Rfam. Lineage: Eukaryota; Metazoa; Arthropoda; Insecta; Diptera; Muscidae.
AAAUUGGCGUUUUUCAACGCCACAAUGAUAACACUGCGAGUUUGC